CAUUUUCUUGCUUCGUUUUGUUGUCAUUUCAGAUUAGCAAAUGUUUGGAGAAGCUCUGGAGGAGAUCGGAGAGAGGUGAAAAUCAGGACUUGAAUCGGACCAAGCGUAAACGACGAUGAAAUCCAACGCGUGGGUUCUAUUGCUAAUGGUGAUCUACUUCGGUGUUGUUAAUUGCAUUGAUGACAAAUGCGCCGCUUGCAAUGCCGUUGCCGAAGAGAUAGAACGUGGACUUUCCAAUGAAAAACCGAGGAAUCAUUUAGAUAUGAGACAUCGGUUGGAUUCUAAAGGUCAGCGUAAGGGGAAGGUGAUUGACUACAGGGUCAGUGAGCUAAGAGUUGUUGAACUCCUGGACGGGCUUUGUGAAAAGAUGCAAGAUUACACCAUCGAGAAGUCAGAUUCAACUGGAAAACAGUGGAUCAAAGUGGAUGACUGGGACAACUUGACAAAUAAACAAGAAGCUCGGGCUUAUUCAAAAGAUAUAUCAACUUAUUGUGGGAGAUUAUUAGAGGAAACAGAAGAUGAUUUGGCAGAGUUGAUUAAGAAAGGAUCUGUCAGACCAGGUGAUGUUAGCAAAGUACUAUGCCAUGAUUUGAGCAGGCAUUGCAGCAAGGCGAGCAGUGUUCAGCUGAAUGACGAUGAUGAUGAAGCAGAUGGGGAGCUAUGAAAAGAUAGGUUUGAGAGAGGAGCUAUAAACCAUGCAACAGUUCAGCUUGUUUUCAAAUCAGGAGAUAUGUGCUACACGCUUAUUUUCUUGUAUAACUGUUUAACUUUGAUUGCACUUUCAAUUUUAAAUUUUGAUAGAAAACUCAGACGAUGGGGUGAUGCUGACUUAAAAGCUUCAGAUUGAUGUUUUGUGUAGUAAAGCUUAGGGACUUGAGGAAAUAAUGCUUAUAAAGGGUGAUAUAAUGACCAACCUAAUGCGUCCGAAGAAAUCGGCGUCGUUGUCUUGUCUGGUGUGGUAAUGCACACACAUCGCCCACAUUUGAUAUGGCAUAUGCCUGGUCUGUGCUCAAGUCGGUUGUUGCGCGCGCGAUGUUCCUAAAAGAGAAUUUCUAUUUUUGCAACACUAAAGUGGAGAUGAAAA
This is an RNA transcript of Cucurbita maxima (winter squash), 1084 nucleotides long. It is a transcript of the gene named protein canopy-1-like, with no coding region annotated. NCBI's taxonomy places the organism in Eukaryota, Viridiplantae, Streptophyta, Magnoliopsida, Cucurbitales, Cucurbitaceae. The transcript has 10 exons. The record is from RefSeq and is a predicted model, not a curated record.